Long non-coding RNA from Glycine soja, 921 nucleotides. RefSeq lists it as uncharacterized. The transcript is spliced from 2 exons. The record is from RefSeq and is a predicted model, not a curated record. NCBI's taxonomy places the organism in Eukaryota, Viridiplantae, Streptophyta, Magnoliopsida, Fabales, Fabaceae.
UUACAUAUUUGGGAUGAUGGGGUGGUGCAGUUAAGAGAGGGUUUGGAGUUGUAGCUAGGAUUGGGUGUUAUAGGAUUUUGCUCCUUCUUUGGUCAUAAUAGCAAUAAAGGAGUGAGAUGACUUAAGUACCUUGUGUGGUGUUGGGGGGUGACUUUUUGUUAAAGGGACUAUAAAUUAAAGUAAUAAAGAGUGAAAUGGAGGUUCCUAAUAUAGCAUCUUCCAAAGCAUAUGCCCUUGCACACCCUCCUAUGUUCCACAUAUGACAGGCACCUUUCGAUUUUCCCCCUCACGUGUCUUCUUUUUUGCUACCCUUGGGAUUUAUUAUAGCCGUGAUCAAAAUUCUCCAUCUAAAAGUGGCUUGAAAAAGAGUGAUAUCUCCUCACUGCUCACUCAAUUUCAGAAGGGGAAGUAGCAAAUGUGGUUUUUGUUAUUAGGAGGUCUUUGAAUUGAAGCAGCAGGAGAACUAUGGGCUAACAAAAUCGACCCACUAUUUUUAUAUCAUGCUUCUGAUUGGAUCACCACUCACUGGAUAUUUGGUUUUGAAAUCUUCAAUUUCUGACUACAAAAUGCAAAUACAGUUUCCAGAGAAAUGACUUCAUUCUUGGAGGGCUGGAUGGGUUGGCUGAUUCAUCUAGAAAUACACACACAGUACAUUAAGCGUUACGGAGGAAACCAACAAGUUCAAAUGGUGUAUAAGACUUGGUCAGUGACAGCGUUAUUCAGUAAUCACCAACAAUGUUAGGAAGUUGUAAUUUAUGGUUCAGCUUGGUUAGGCCUCCUUUUGAUCAGUAUUUCCCUCUUUGCAACUGCCUAGGUUUCAGAUGAUUGCUUGGGUUAACUCUUAUUUUUGUAUUAUUUGUUUCUCUUCCAAAGAUGCUAAUGAAAAUUUAUCUAUCUUUGGCAACAAUUAUGUGUUUUUUA